AGAGCGAACGCUGGCGGCAGGCUUAACACAUGCAAGUCGAGCGGGCGUAGCAAUACGUCAGCGGCAGACGGGUGAGUAACGCGUGGGAACAUACCUUUUGGUUCGGAACAACACAGGGAAACUUGUGCUAAUACCGGAUAAGCCCUUACGGGGAAAGAUUUAUCGCUGAAAGAUUGGCCCGCGUCUGAUUAGCUAGUUGGUGAGGUAACGGCUCACCAAGGCGACGAUCAGUAGCUGGUCUGAGAGGAUGAUCAGCCACAUUGGGACUGAGACACGGCCCAAACUCCUACGGGAGGCAGCAGUGGGAAUAUUGGACAAUGGGCGCAAGCCUGAUCCAGCCAUGCCGCGUGAGUGAUGAAGGCCCUAGGGUUGUAAAGCUCUUUGUGCGGGAAGAUAAUGACGGUACCGCAAGAAUAACGCCCCGGCUAACUUCGUGCCAGCAGCCGC
Molecule: ribosomal RNA, 447 nt
Filed under: uncultured bacterium
Lineage: Bacteria
Description: SSU rRNA
Rfam family: Bacterial small subunit ribosomal RNA
Source: RNAcentral